AGGGAUUGCUUGCAAUCCUGAGUAGAGUGGCGCACGGGUGAGUAACACGUAGAUAAUCUACCUUCAAGCCCGGGAUAACUAUUCGAAAGGAUGGCUAAUACCGGAUGAAGUGUUUUGACCCAAGUUGAAACAUGAAAGAUUGCCUAUCCUUGGAAGCAAUUGUUUGGAGAUGAGUUUGCGGACCAUUAGCUUGUUGGUGGGGUAAAGGCCUACCAAGGCAACGAUGGUUAGCUGGUCUGAGAGGAUGAUCAGCCACACUGGAACUGGUACACGGUCCAGACUCCUACGGGAGGCAGCAGUGAGGAAUUUUGCGCAAUGGGGGCAACCCUGACGCAGCAACGCCGCGUGAGUGAAGAAGGCCUUUGGGUCGUAAAGCUCUGUCGACAGGGAAGAAAUUACAAUCAUCCAAUAGGUGUUUGUAUUGACGGUACCUGUAGAGGAAGCACCGGCUAACUCCGUGCCAGCAGCCGCGGUAAUACGGGGGGUGCAAGCGUUAUUCGGAAUUAUUGGGCGUAAAGGGCGCGUAGGCAGUCUUGUCGGUCAGAUGUGAAAGCCCGGGGCUCAACCCUGGAAGUGCAUUUGAAACAGCAAGACUUGAGUACGGGAGAGGAAAGCGGAAUUCCUGGUGUAGAGGUGAAAUUCGUAGAUAUCAGGAGGAACACCGAUGGCGAAGGCAGCUUUCUGGACCGAUACUGACGCUGAGGCGCGAAGGUGUGGGUAGCGAACGGGAUUAGAUACCCCGGUAGUCCACACAGUAAACGAUGUUCACUAGGUGUAUCGGGUAUUAAAAUCUGAUGUGCCCAAGCUAACGCAUUAAGUGA
This 821-nucleotide ribosomal RNA is filed under the name uncultured bacterium. RNAcentral describes it as "bacterial SSU rRNA". It matches the Rfam family "Bacterial small subunit ribosomal RNA", at positions 71 to 867 of the family's 1533-position model. The record is from RNAcentral.